UUCGCAAUGCCCGAAAGGGUGACGAAGCGACGCCGCGUGAGCGAAGAAGGCCCUAGGGUUGUAAAGCUCUGUCGAGGGUUAUGAAAUAUAGAUGGGUUAAUACCCCAUUUAUUUGACAAAAGCCCAAAAGGAAGCCACGGCUAACUCUGUGCCAGCAGCCGCGGUAAUACAGAGGUGGCAAGCGUUGUUCGGAAUUAUUGGGCGUAAAGAGCACGUAGGUGGAUUUGUAAGUCAGACGUGAAAGCCUUCUGUUCAACGGAAGAAUUGCAUCUGAAACUACAAACCUUGAGUGUAGGAGGGGAGAAUGGAACUUCUGGUGGAGCGGUGAAAUGCGUAGAUAUCAGAAGGAACGCCGGCGGCUAAAGCGAUUCUCUGGCCUAUUACUGACACUGAGUGUGCGAAAGUUAGGGGAGCAAACGGGAUUAGAUACCCCGGUAGUCCUAACCGUAAACGACGGGCACUAAGUAGAGGGGUUUU
RNAcentral lists this ribosomal RNA (477 nucleotides) under uncultured anaerobic ammonium-oxidizing bacterium. Its description in RNAcentral is "bacterial SSU rRNA". It matches the Rfam family "Bacterial small subunit ribosomal RNA", at positions 365 to 832 of the family's 1533-position model. The record is from RNAcentral.